Molecule: long non-coding RNA, 1072 nt
Filed under: Cricetulus griseus (Chinese hamster)
Lineage: Eukaryota; Metazoa; Chordata; Mammalia; Rodentia; Cricetidae
Description: lncRNA (ENSCGRG00015040727.1)
Source: RNAcentral
UCUCAUCAGAUCUUAGCUGAGGAACUAACUAUGACAUCUGUUUUUGUAAUGGGCCCCAAAGUCUGCCAGUAAGAUGUAGGGCUUCGGGUCUACUCCGAGUACAAAUGUUUGGCCUGAAUUAAGGAAGACACUGUGUUUCCUUUAAGGAGCGCUUAAAAUGGCAUCUCUGGUCCUUGAUUUUGAAGUUUGUUUCUUUAAAAGGAACUGAGUGUUGGCCAUUCAUGUGUGGUUAAGCCUGAACGCCGAAGACAAGAAUAUAAUAGUCAUACACGAUAAAAGACCCCGUUCCCUCUGCAGCUUCUUCUUAAAGCUCCCUGCGGAGAAGAAUCCAGGACCACCUCCGGCUCAGACAGUUGGGGAAAGCGGGCUGAAGAAUUGGCCGGAGUGAUUUAGACGAGGGUGCUGCAGGAUGGGUUGAGUUGUGUCUUAGUCCAUCUAUAUGACUGUGACAGAAUGCCCUGGGCUGAGUAACUUAUGAACAAUAGAGAUGGAUUCAGCUCGAGGUGACAGUCAGAGGGACAGCUUUCAGGAGUCAGCUCUCUCCGGCUGUCUGGUGUACAUAAAGCAAGCACAAGAUAAUGUCAAUGAUUUUUUAGUUCUUCCUUAGGUGGAAAAAAACAACUAAAAAUGUAUCACUUCCUAAGGACAUUUAUCUUUUUACAAAGAUCAGACACGAAAGCCUAAUGCAGGUAAAAAUCCCCAAUGUGGACCUGAAACAAAAUAUAAAAUGUCCCUGCCUGAGACUAGCUUUCAAGGUGCCAUCCAUCCUCUAAGGGAGGGAAGCAACCAGUAUCCCGUCCCAGCGAAGAGUGUCUAGGAACCAAAAUAAUGAUCAGCUAUGGGGCUAUAUUCCUAAGGGUACAAGAGUGGUGUGCGUGCCUUGUGGUAGCCAGCAGCUUUUUAAUUGGACUAAAGACCCACACACUAAGAGGGAAAUCAAGCCUUGAACUGGAGACCUAGCGAACUACCAAAGUGACUACGAGGUGCUGAGACCCCGCUGAUACCCGGGUCCGGUACCUACGGCUCCGUGAUCACAGUAGGAGGAGGAGCGGGAAGACUGCAACAGCCCAAG